Long non-coding RNA from Micropterus salmoides (largemouth bass), 974 nucleotides. RefSeq lists it as uncharacterized. The record is from RefSeq and is a predicted model, not a curated record. The transcript is spliced from 2 exons. Lineage: Eukaryota; Metazoa; Chordata; Actinopteri; Centrarchiformes; Centrarchidae.
GGGGGAGGCAGUGCAGGAAGGCUGGGCAAACAGUAGUGUUGUUUGCUCUGCUGAUUGGGCUAGGACAACUAGGGUGAAGAUCACGGGAUGUCAACACAGGGGCGGCAUUUACAGUUCACUGUCAGUCCCUCACUGUCACCUGUGUCACCAACGACAUCCUCAGCUCUGCUGAAGGACUGCUAACCAUGGGACAAUGAAUCUUCUCUUUGUGGCCCAGACUGCGUGUUUGCGCUGGCUAACCAGGAGGGCGGCAGGUCUAAUCCGAGGAGGAAAUCAUUGAAUGUUCCAGUGCUCAUUUGAGAAGGCUUCAAAUGCGUGGCCCCCCACUGUUCAGGCCCCUUGAGUGCAGGCCCCUUGAGUGCAGGCCCCUGGGACACGUUGUAAAGACGACACCGCAUUUCUUCUUCACACUCUCUGAUCUGAGUUGUUAGCUCUGAGGCUAAAUGCGUGGUCUUGUGAAGAGGAGCUGCAAUGAGAAAAACAGGUGAGCUCUUUAACUGGAGUUUCACAGCUAUUAAAGUGCCAACACACCGGGUCGCCAUGGUGAUGAGCGCAGGGCUUCUGGGGAGUCAGCAUUUUUGUUAUUGAGUGGUGGAUGUUUUUGGUUUUGGAUGCCCCAAAUUGACUUAUGACAUGAAAAGCUGUCUCUGGCUUUAUUGGAUUAGAUUUCAACAGGUUCUGUUUGCAUUUAGGAAGAACAAUUGAAGUUUGAGCUAUUUGCCCAGCAUAUGAACACGGUCACAGUUUCAUGCUAAUAAAUAUGCUGCACAUGAUGUUUUGAACAUGAAGACCCUUUUCUAACUUUAGCUAGUUGAAAUAAAAGUAAAUUCAACAAAACACAGACCAACACGGUCACUGAAACAAUGCUUAGAGAAGUACUGUUCAAGUUUUGUCCUUAAUUCCAAGAUGUUGCUUUUUGGUUUGACAACAGAAACUUUAUAUAUAUGAGCAUUAAAAGACCUUCACAUCCAGUC